GCUUGCAUGAUCUAUCUUGCAUUCGAUCAAGAGAAAGAAGCCACUCACCUAGUAAGCACAAACUGGUGGAUUGGAGAAGCUCGCCUCAUAAUCAAGAAAGAGGAGAUGAACCACUAUGGCAUCCAAAACACCAUAGUCAGAGUGAGUUCCCUGAACUCGGGUGUCUUCGAUCGGAUGAAAAUCAGGAAGACUCUAGGCAUUCUUGAAUUUGCUCUUUUCCUAAUUUCCCAAAUUCUGUCUCAAUGAAGUUGCUCAUAUGGAACUGUCGUGAUGCCGGCAACAAAGUUUUUAGAAGAACCAUGAAGGAACUUGAGAAAAAUCACAGACCUUCUAUUAUUGUUCUGAUGGAAACAAAAUUUGAGCUUAGUUCAAUGGGUUCUUUUUUUAACAAAUUGGGGUUCACUACUUCUUCCCAUGUAGACCUUGUUGGUAGGUGUGGGGGCAUCUGGGUCCUUUGGGAUCCUUUUAAAGCUACUGUAAAAGCCCUUGAGGUUAAUGCCCAAGUUAUUCAUGCAAAAAUUCAACGUGAUAACCAUGCAAAUUGGGUCCUGUCAGUGGUUUAUGCCAUCCCAAUUUCCAGAAAUUGUGAACUGUUAUGGGAUAAUCUUGAAUCUAUUGCCGACAACAUGAAUCUGCCCUGGCUUGUGGCUGGAGAUUUCAAUGACAUAGCUUCUCAGGGGAAAAACGUAGUCUCAGCCCAACCCUCUCUCAUGUUCGAACCCGUAAGUUCAAUGCCAGAAUGAAUAGGUGUAAUCUGAUGGAUUUUGGGUGCUCUGGGCCCCAACUCACUUGGUCCAAUGGAAGGCAAGGACUGGCUAACACAUUGGAGAGACUAGACCGUGCUGUUUGCAAUUUUGAAUGGUGUAUAGCUUUCACUGAAGGUGCAAUUCGUAAUUUACCAAGAACCUACUCUAACCACUCUCCUUUGAUUGUGCUCACACAAGGAAAAUCAAAUUAAACACAGGUGGUUGUGCUCGGGGCGAUCCAGGAGCAGGGGGGUUUGGAGGCCUCUUUCGCGAUGAAUAUGGCAUUUGGCUGUGCAGUUUUUUGGGAAGUUAGAGACAUGCUUUAGCUUGGAAGCAGAAAUGUGGGGCAUCUACAGAGGUCUUACCAUAGUGCUCGAGAAAGGUCUCGCCGAAGUUGUCAUUGAGACUGACUCCAUCAUAUCCCAAGAAAUGAUCACAAACGGGCCUCUCCCAAACUGCCCGUAUAGAGCCAUUAUGGAAGAUGCUCGUCACCUGCUCCAGCGGUGCAAUUGUUCCAUCCAGUACAUUGUGAGAGGCCAACCAAUGUGCGGACAAGCUCGCCAACAUGGGUGCAGAUCAAGUGGAGUACUUGCUGGUUAUGAAAGAACCUCCUCUAGAAGUUAGAAGCUUGAUUAUAGCAGAUAUGGUGGGCACAACGUUUUGGAGGCUCUAGCUUAGCUACCUCUCUUGUCUGUGUUUUUGUUGUUCUGGUUUUUUAAUUUCCGAUGUAACAGAAAAAAAAAUGUACAUGAAAAUGGGGAGACUAUUGUAUAUCAGUCACUCUUGUUCUUUCGGUGGGACCAACUCUAGGUUCUAUUUUGAUAACAUGAAUUGUUAUUUUUAAGAGUGUUAUGUAAAAAAUUAAAUUGCACAAAAAUUGAUAAUAUUUGAUCAAAUCAUAUUUUUAUUCGAAUAA
Molecule: long non-coding RNA, 1662 nt
Organism: Camellia sinensis
Lineage: Eukaryota; Viridiplantae; Streptophyta; Magnoliopsida; Ericales; Theaceae
Source: RefSeq, a predicted model, not a curated record